Molecule: ribosomal RNA, 263 nt
Filed under: uncultured Staphylococcus sp.
Lineage: Bacteria; Bacillati; Bacillota; Bacilli; Caryophanales; Staphylococcaceae
Description: partial 16S ribosomal RNA
Rfam family: Bacterial small subunit ribosomal RNA
Source: RNAcentral
CGGACGGGUGAGUAACACGUGGAUAACCUACCUAUAAGACUGGGAUAACUUCGGGAAACCGGAGCUAAUACCGGAUAAUAUAUUGAACCGCAUGGUUCAAUGGUGAAAGACGGUUUUGCUGUCACUUAUAGAUGGAUCCGCGCCGCACUAGCUAGUUGGUAAGGUAACGGCUUACCAAGGCAACGAUGCAUAGCCGACCUGAGAGGGUGAUCGGCCACACUGGAACUGAGACACGGUCCAGACUCCUACGGGAGGCAGCAGGU